UAGGGAAUCUUCGGCAAUGGGGGCAACCCUGACCGAGCAACGCCGCGUGAGUGAAGAAGGUUUUCGGAUCGUAAAGCUCUGUUGUAAGAGAAGAACGAGUGUGAGAGUGGAAAGUUCACACUGUGACGGUAACUUACCAGAAAGGGACGGCUAACUACGUGCCAGCAGCCGCGGUAAUGCGUAGGUCCCGAGCGUUAUCCGGAUUUAUUGGGCGUAAAGCGAGCGCAGGCGGUUAGAUAAGUCUGAAGUUAAAGGCUGUGGCUUAACCAUAGUACGCUUUGGAAACUGUUUAACUUGAGUGCAGAAGGGGAGAGUGGAAUUCCAUGUGUAGCGGUGAAAUGCGUAGAUAUAUGGAGGAACACCGGUGGCGAAAGCGGCUCUCUGGUCUGUAACUGACGCUGAGGCUCGAAAGCGUGGGGAGCAAACAGGAUUAGAUACCCUGGUAGUCCACGCCGUAAACGAUGAGUGCUAGGUGUUGGGUCCUUUCCGGGAUUCAGUGCCGCAGCUAACGCAUUAAGCACUCCGCCUGGGGAGUACGACCGCAAGGUUG
This 550-nucleotide ribosomal RNA is filed under the name uncultured bacterium. RNAcentral's name for it is "bacterial SSU rRNA". It matches the Rfam family "Bacterial small subunit ribosomal RNA", at positions 355 to 896 of the family's 1533-position model. The record is from RNAcentral.